Gasterosteus aculeatus aculeatus (three-spined stickleback) is the source of this 1571-nucleotide long non-coding RNA. RefSeq lists it as uncharacterized. The record is from RefSeq and is a predicted model, not a curated record. NCBI's taxonomy places the organism in Eukaryota, Metazoa, Chordata, Actinopteri, Perciformes, Gasterosteidae.
GAUGAUGGUUUAGACCAGGGGUCCCCAAACUACGGCCUGCGGGCCGCAUACGGCCCGCCUCCACAUUUGACCCGGCCCCCUGAACAAUACAGAGACGGAAAAAAGGCUAAUGCUUAUGGUAAAAUGGUUGUGUCAUACAAGUAAUUACGACUGCUCGACGGAUCGCGGUCCCUUUAAAUGUUCUGUUGUUGUUGAUGACGUAGAGCCCGUUGAUAGGGAGAUUACAAGGCUGCGCCAUCUUGUUUUUUCAUCCGUUGUGAAAAAUAAACAAGAGACACACGCUUGUUCUCAACUUUCUCUGUGGAAUGCAACUUCCACAAUAAUGGCAAAACGGUGUGGUAAGAGAAAAAUUGAUUCAGAAUGCAGGGUAUUUAACCCGCAGUGGACACAUGAUUACUUUUUUGUUCAGUUGAAAGAAAAGGCUGUUUGUCUUGUCUGUCAAGAGACGGUGGCGGUAUUCAAAGAAUAAAACCUGCGCCGACAUUAUGAAUCCCGUCACAAAGACAAGUAUGCUAGCCUGCACGGCCAAAUGCGAGCAGAAAAAAUGUCUAAGCUUAAAACUGGACUGUUCGCUCAGCAGACUACAUUUGUACGGCAAACUUAGCUGAACCAAGCAUCAGUUCGGGCCAGCUUCCGUGUUGCUCAGCUGAUAGCAAGCUGCGUAAAUCUUUCACUGAAGGAGAGUUUGUCAAGAAAUGUUUGAAUGUUGUCGUGGAGGAGGUCUGUCCCGAGAAGAAAGAUGUCUUUAAUGCCGUGAGUCUGUCGGCAAGUACAAUUACCCGACGUGUUGAAGAAAUUGGGGCUAAUGUGUAUGCCCAGCUGCAGCAGAAGACUAAAGAUUUUCAGUUUUUUUCAUUAGCACUGGAUGAGAGCACGGACGUGCAGGACACCGCGGAGCUUCUUAUUUUUAUUCGUGGAGUUAACGCAAACUUUGAGAUGUGCGAGGAGCUGGCAGCCCUACAAAGCCUGAAAGGGACUACAACUGUGAUGUUCUGAAAGACGCAUUCAAGCCCAACAGUCUCAUUGACUUCUAUGCCGCCCUCCCAAAUGACACCUACCCUAACAUAAAACAACACGCAAUGAAGAUGUCCACACUUUUUGGCAGCACGUAUAUCUGCGAGCAAACCUUUUCACGCAUGAAACGCCUGAAAACUCCAACGAGAUCAAGAUUGACAGAUGAACAUUUGCAUCAGUGUUUGAGACUGGCGGUGACUAGAAUGGAACCGGACAUUCAACUUCUCUCCAGCCAGAUGCAGGCCCACAGUUCACACUGAUGAACACACAGUACAUAGAGGGAAGUUGAUGAGAGGGAGCCUACAGUGGUGUCUACUGGGCUAGCCUAUGGAACCUACAAAGAACACAAGAACUUUGAGAGACAUUUGAGAUUCUGCUGUGACAAGUGAAGUUUACCUUUUAUCUAGGAUUGUGCAUGGCACAGCAUAACUUUCUUUCUGUGAAGAACCCACAGAGGGUUAUUUGAUCUCAGAAAGGGUUAUUAAUAUUUGGAUAUGUGUGGUGCGCUGGAGUGUCAGCAUGUUUUCUGGAAAACAAUAAAUUAUUACAUUUAGGGA